RNAcentral lists this long non-coding RNA (410 nucleotides) under Pan troglodytes (chimpanzee). RNAcentral's name for it is "long non-coding RNA NONPTRT018564". Lineage: Eukaryota; Metazoa; Chordata; Mammalia; Primates; Hominidae. The record is from RNAcentral.
UGGGCCCACCGUGGACAUCUUGGGUGGUUUCCCCAUCUCUUUCUUUGCCUGGCCUGUCACUCGUCUCUGCCUCCUCCAGGUGAGCAACCCUGCCACUCGCAUGCUGAAGACUGCAGCCGCCCAGGUGGGGACAUCGGUUUCCUCCGCCACCAACACGUCUACCCGCCCUAUCAUCACAGUGCACAAGUCAGGCACUGUGACAGUGGCCCAGCAAGCCCAGGUGGUGACCACAGUUGUGGGCGGGGUCACCAAGACCAUCACCCUGGUGAAGAGCCCCAUCUCUGUCCCAGGAGGCAGUGCUCUGAUUUCCAAUCUGGGCAAAGUGAUGUCGGUGGUCCAGACCAAACCAGUUCAGACUUCAGCAGUCACAGGCCAGGCGUCCACGGGUCCUGUGACUCAGAUCAUCCAGG